Molecule: ribosomal RNA, 536 nt
Filed under: Thaliacea sp. UR4
Lineage: Eukaryota; Metazoa; Chordata; Thaliacea
Description: SSU rRNA
Rfam family: Eukaryotic small subunit ribosomal RNA
Source: RNAcentral
GUCUCAAAGAUUAAGCCAUGCAAGUGUAAGUACGAGCUCGAGUACAGUGAAACUGCGAAUGGCUCAUUAAAUCAGUUAUGGUUCAUUUGAUCGUACGCUUUAAUACAUGGAUAACUGUGGCAAUUCUAGAGCUAAUACAUGCGUGAAGCACCGACCUGACGGGAGGUGUGCAUUUAUCAGACCAAAACUAACCGGGUUUCGGCCCGUUUCGAUGGUGACUCUGGAUAAGCUCGCGGAUCGCACGGUCUUGCACCGGCGACAUCUCUUUAAAGCAACUGCCCUAUCAACUAUCGUCGGUACGGUAUCGGCCUACCGAGGUUGUAACGGGUGACGGAGAAUCAGGGUUCGAUUCCGGAGAGGGAGCCUGAGAAACGGCUACCACAUCCAAGGAAGGCAGCAGGCGCGCAAAUUACCCAUUCCCGGCUCGGGGAGGUAGUGACGAAAAAUAACAAUACAGGCCUCGUACGAGGCCCUGUAAUUGGAAUGAGUACACUUUAAACGCUUUAACGAGUAUCCAUUGGAGGGCAAGUCUGGUG